Molecule: ribosomal RNA, 492 nt
Filed under: uncultured bacterium
Lineage: Bacteria
Description: partial 16S ribosomal RNA
Rfam family: Bacterial small subunit ribosomal RNA
Source: RNAcentral
AGUGAACGCUGGCGGUAUGCCUAACACAUGCAAGUCGAACGGCAGCACAGUAAGAGCUUGCUCUUACGGGUGGCGAGUGGCGGACGGGUGAGGAAUACAUCGGAAUCUACUUUUUCGUGGGGGAUAACGUAGGGAAACUUACGCUAAUACCGCAUACGACCUACGGGUGAAAGCAGGGGAUCUUCGGACCUUGCGCGAUUGAAUUAGCCGAUGUCGGAUUAGCUAGUUGGCGGGGUAAAGGCCCACCAAGGCGACGAUCCGUAGCUGGUCUGAGAGGAUGAUCGGCCACACUGGAACUGAGACACGGUCCAGACUCCUACGGGAGGCAGCAGUAGGGAAUAUUGGACAAUGGGCGCAAGCCUGAUCCAGCCAUACCGCGUGGGUGAAGAAGGCCUUCGGGUUGUAAAGCCCUUUUGUUGGGAAAGAAAAGCAGCAGGUUAAUACCCCGCUGUUCUGACGGUACCCAAAGAAUAAGCACCGGCUAACUUCGUG